AACGAACGCUGGCGGCAUGCCUAACACAUGCAAGUCGAACGAGACCUUCGGGUCUAGUGGCGCACGGGUGCGUACCGCGUGGGAACCUGCCCUUAGGUUCGGAAUAACUCCCCGAAAGGGGUGCUAAUACCGGAUAAUGUCUUCGCACCAAAGAUUUAUCGCCUUUGGAUGGGCCCGCGUUGGAUUAGCUAGUUGGUAGGGUAACAGCCUACCAAGGCGACGGUCCAUAGCUGGUCUGAGAGGAUGAUCAGCCACACUGGGACUGAGACACGGCCCAGACUCCUACGGGAGGCAGCAGUGGGGAGUAUUGGACAAUGGGCGAAAGCCUGAUCCAGCAAUGCCGCGUGAGUGAUGAAGGCCUUAGGAUUGUAAAGCUCUUUUACCCGGGAUGAUAAUGACAGUACCGGGAGAAUAAGCUCCGGCUAACUCCGUG
Molecule: ribosomal RNA, 433 nt
Filed under: uncultured bacterium
Lineage: Bacteria
Description: partial 16S ribosomal RNA
Rfam family: Bacterial small subunit ribosomal RNA
Source: RNAcentral